GCUAGCCUAGGGCGCGGGAGACGGGUCUUGCAGCCUGUGGCGCUUGCAGACCCUGGUUCUCUGCCGCUGUGAUUUUCCUACUGGGGCUCCAGGACUGGCGUCCCUCUCCAGCCUCUGCUCACGUUUCCGUGGCGACGUCUCGCUAGCUUGGACCGUGGCCGAGCCGGGUUGUCUACUGAGUGCUAGAGGCUGCUCUGUUCCAGUGUGCCUACGCUCCGGCCUUUUAUUAAAAUCGAGGGGGUGCACGGACCAAUCAGAAAACACUCAAGCACCACGGAGGGAUGUGGCCCCUCCACAUAGCGACUUAGCUAACCCUCCCUGCGUGAGACAGUGAGGUUUUAAAAUAAACAAAAACAACAAACAAAAUAGACCUUAGAAAUACUGACAAAGGGGAACUGAAUGUUUGAAACCUAAAUGCCUGUUUUUCAAACUAUUUGAUACUCAUCACAGUGGCUGUUUUUUAGACACGCCCUUAAUGGAGUAAGAAAAAUCUAAGCUUCACUGAACGGUUGAGAAGGCGGAUUGCCACAUAAUGGAAGGUCACCAGUCCCUUACCUCACAAUGCACCAUUUGGACUGUCAUAAACAUGUUCUAUUGCCUAACCAACAAAGGCGAGCCACUUGUUGCUCUUCACGUCCUGGCUCUGGUCUGUAUGCUUCUUUCUAAGGCAUAAGACAAGCAGGAAACCACUUUCCAGAGUCUUGGAUUGAGCAACAUGGAUCAGCAGAUGCAUUCUACCUCACACUGUUUUGAGGAACUUGGGCCUGAAGGCCAACCCCACCAUCUCAUUUCCCGCAGCCCAGUACGGAAGUAUGAUUUUUUUUUCGUUUUUUAAUUAUUGAGAAAAAAAUCAAAAGAAGAACAAUGUUUCUGAUUGUUGGAAUUUACAAAAUUUAAAUUUCAGAUCUGUGAAUAUAGCCGUGUUUAUUCUAACAGAGGAAACUUGAGCAUCUGCACAUUUUGGUACCCACAAGGAGUCCAGAAACACCAUGUGGAGCCUCAGGGACUGAGAGACAACUAUUGUUUUGGAAUGACUGUUAGGAGGAGAGAACAUGACCACACUUGGGGGCCGGGGGGAAAACCAGAAAACGCCUUCUCUUUUCAACCAAAUUUCAGAGCACUGGUGUUUAUAGAGGCAAUGCCCAGCCCUCAGUAUUCCUCAGGAUUGCUUGAUUGCAAGUCUCGCAAAUAUGAGUCGAUUAUGUUUGGAGGUACGCCCUGCAGGAGGAGCCUGCAGAAAGACAGCCCACCUAGAGAAGACAAAAUGGAGAAAGCGGAAGUUAAAAACAUCCACGGAAAGAUCACCCAGAGGACACUCCUGGACUAGCUGCCUGCAAAUGGGGUCACUUUUGUUCUUAGGAGCUACCAAGACUCACUCAGGCCCUACUUGAAAUCUUCUCCUGGUUCUCGUGCAUUUAGAAUUUAACGUGCUUGGCAUCAAGUUCCUGGCAGACCCGUAGUAAUUUAUCCCCUACUGUUGUUCCAUCUUGGUUUAAAUUCUCAGUGCCUUGAGAGUGCAUUGCUCUUAGAGAGGUUUUGAGAGUUCUCCUCAAAUGAUAUAACGCUUCUGACUGAAUGGCUGUAGGUCACCAGGGGAGCCACUUCCCAACUCCUUAAUGCUCUUUUGAAUUAAGCACGGAAUAUUCUGAUUCAAGCCCAGUGGAGAAGAAAAAUAUUUGCUUUAGCUUUGGCCAUUUAUAAACUGCAGAAACUAGAGCUAAUGCCUUCUGAAAGUGAGAGAAAUGCCAACUAGUAUUUCAUACCUACCUUAUGAAUUUCUGUUAUAUUGCUUUAAAAAUCAAAGUAUCAUUCAAGAGAAAACCCACGAAACCAGAAAGCCUGCACUACCCUUUAUAACAAAUGCUUCACUUCCUGAUAAAAGAUUUAUGACCAAACAAAAGCAGCAUGCUGUUGGAACAAUCUUAAAACUUCUUUAAUGCAAAUUUGAGAAACUCAUUCUCCUUAAUAAAAAAGAAAACAACCAACCAUGUCACAUAUCUGUAGAAACGAUGCCACUUAUAUACAUGUCCAUUCCUUGAUGCAAAGAAUUCAGAUGCAUGGGUCUCACUCAUUUCAUCUACAUCAAAUCCUUUGAUUCAUGCUCUACCUCAUUCAACAACUUGCUGCAUGUCCAGAAGAAAUGGUUGUGAAGGCUCAGUAUUAGAUGUUAAUGUCAAGAUCCAGAAAUACCAAUUAAAACUACGAAGUUAGCAGGCUCUAGUUUCAUUGGAUUACGUAGUGGAAAUCAUGCCAUACUCCACAGGCCUGGUAUGGCUUAUGACAUUCAUAAGCUUCAUAUGCUAAAGCCAUAUGAAAGCUUACCUUAGGGCAAUAUACAUUCAGAAAUCCUUACUGUGCUACAACUAAGGAAGAGAGAGAGAGAGAAGAGAGAAGUUGUAAGAAUUAAUAAAGUGCUAACAUCAAAGUUGAGUGUAUGUUGGAGGUGAAAUUAUGGUCACGAUUAUGAUCAGGUGAUUUCAUUAAUCCUUAGUCGGGUGAAUGACAAAGGAAAAAUAGAGUGAAGGGUGUCACUUCAAGAGGAUCAUUAAUACAUAAAAAAUUAAUAAUAGGCAUAACCACUUUGCUAGAAUAGGUGGCAAAGCUAAUCUGACUAGUGAAUGUUUAUGGUAAGAGCUUCCAAACUGUUAGCUUAAAAAAAUACCCUACAACAUAUAUAUAUCGUGUUUUUCAACAAAAGAAAAACAUAGACAAUAUUUUAAAAUGUUAGUGUUCAUAUAUAUAUGUUGAAAUUCCAAAAGGCAAAAUUAUCAAGUAUAACUAUUGAGCUAGUGUAUUUUGUAAUAUUCUGUUGGGACGGAUUAUAUGUAACUGGUCUAAGUCUUAAACUCAAGCUACAGUGAUUGUCUAUAGCCUACAGUACUUCAAAGGAAGAACUCUGAUAUUUUAUUUUGUCUUUAGUGCUGACAUUACCUCUACAUUCAGAAAGCAGAUACUGUAAAUUCAGAUUAGAUCGAUAUCGGAGUUUAAUUCAGGUUGUUUACCUAGUUCCAAAGAACUCUUUAAUUAGCUCUUCCAAGUGAGAGUGGGUCAUACACAUACAAUAGGACCUUUUAUAUGUAAUACAUUUAUCAUAAGCCCUAGACUUUUCCUUCCUUUUAAGUUCAUAAGCAUAUGAGAUAAUUGGGAUACCACAAAGAUUUCCAAACUGUCCAAUACACGAAUAGGUUAGGUAUCCCACCAGUGAGUUGGCAAUGGGAAAAUCUUACAUGAGAGAGUCUCCAAAUGUCACACCUGUCUUUGCUUCUUCCUUCAAAAAUGCACAGAGCAUGCUCUCUUUACAACUUAGCAGGUGAGAGGUGCUCAGUUUCUGAAUUCCAUCAUGAAUAGGAACUCCCUAUGCUGGAAAUGAUCUUCAAGGACCAACCUAUCUUUGUACACUUGAAAAAUAAAGACAUUAAGUAAAUGUCCUUGUUUCUAAAUGGUUUUUUGAUAGUCAUAUAUAAAAUGAAGGUUUCCUCAAAUGCCACUUUCUGACUUUGUUAAUGGGGACAGCUGGUCUGAUAUUCAGUCUUCUGA
Non-coding RNA from Peromyscus maniculatus bairdii (prairie deer mouse), 3537 nucleotides. The record is from RefSeq and is a predicted model, not a curated record. NCBI's taxonomy places the organism in Eukaryota, Metazoa, Chordata, Mammalia, Rodentia, Cricetidae.